GACGAACCGUGCGAACGUUAUUCGGAAUCACUGGGCUUAAAGGGCGCGUAGGCGGGCCACCAAGUCAGGGGUGAAAUCCCACGGCUCAACCGUGGAAGUGCCCUUGAUACUGGUGGCCUCGAGGGAGGCAGGGGCGUGCGGAACUUUGGGUGGAGCGGUGAAAUGCGUAGAUAUCGCUUGGAACGCCGAAGGUGAAAACAGGCUGCUGGGGUUGCGCCGACGCUGAGACACGAAAGCCAGGGGAGCAAACGGG
Molecule: ribosomal RNA, 253 nt
Filed under: uncultured bacterium
Lineage: Bacteria
Description: partial 16S ribosomal RNA
Rfam family: Bacterial small subunit ribosomal RNA
Source: RNAcentral